Molecule: non-coding RNA, 97 nt
Filed under: marine eukaryotic metagenome
Source: RNAcentral
GACGGAUUCGAAAUUUCCAGAUUUUCAAGCAGGAUCAGAGCGUGCAUCAACACAUGUGGUAACGGCACUCGCCGGCGCAAAUAUCAUUUAUGAAUCU